AACGAACGCUGGCGGCAGGCCUAACACAUGCAAGUCGAGCGAGAUCUUCGGGUCUAGCGGCGGACGGGUGAGUAACGCGUGGGAAUAUGCCUCUUGGUACGGAAUAGCCUCGGGAAACUGGGAGUAAUACCGUAUGUGCCCUUUGGGGGAAAGAUUUAUCGCCAAGAGAUUAGCCCGCGUUGGAUUAGGUAGUUGGUGGGGUAAUGGCCUACCAAGCCGACGAUCCAUAGCCGGUUUGAGAGGAUGAUCAGCCACACUGGGACUGAGACACGGCCCAGACUCCUACGGGAGGCAGCAGUGGGGAAUCUUAGACAAUGGGGGCAACCCUGAUCUAGCCAUGCCGCGUGAGUGAUGAAGGCCUUAGGGUUGUAAAGCUCUUUCAGCUGGGAAGAUAAUGACGGUACCAGCAGAAGAAGCCCCGGCUAACUCCGUG
RNAcentral lists this ribosomal RNA (433 nucleotides) under uncultured bacterium. RNAcentral's name for it is "partial 16S ribosomal RNA". It matches the Rfam family "Bacterial small subunit ribosomal RNA", at positions 29 to 507 of the family's 1533-position model. The record is from RNAcentral.